This 433-nucleotide ribosomal RNA is filed under the name uncultured bacterium. RNAcentral's name for it is "partial 16S ribosomal RNA". It matches the Rfam family "Bacterial small subunit ribosomal RNA", at positions 29 to 507 of the family's 1533-position model. The record is from RNAcentral.
AACGAACGCUGGCGGCAUGCCUAACACAUGCAAGUCGAACGAAGUCUUCGGACUUAGUGGCGCACGGGUGCGUAACGCGUGGGAAUCUGCCCUUGGGUACGGAAUAACUCAGAGAAAUUUGUGCUAAUACCGUAUAAUGUCUUCGGACCAAAGAUUUAUCGCCCAAGGAUGAGCCCGCGUAGGAUUAGCUAGUUGGUGGGGUAAAAGCCUACCAAGGCGACGAUCUUUAGCUGGUCUGAGAGGAUGAUCAGCCACACUGGGACUGAGACACGGCCCAGACUCCUACGGGAGGCAGCAGUGGGGAAUAUUGGACAAUGGGCGAAAGCCUGAUCCAGCAAUGCCGCGUGAGUGAUGAAGGCCCUAGGGUUGUAAAGCUCUUUUACCAGGGAUGAUAAUGACAGUACCUGGAGAAUAAGCUCCGGCUAACUCCGUG